RNAcentral lists this ribosomal RNA (305 nucleotides) under uncultured bacterium. RNAcentral's name for it is "bacterial SSU rRNA". It matches the Rfam family "Bacterial small subunit ribosomal RNA", at positions 338 to 657 of the family's 1533-position model. The record is from RNAcentral.
CCUACGGGGGGCAGCAGUGGGGAAUAUUGGGCAAUGGGCGCAAGCCUGACCCAGCAACGCCGCGUGAAGGAAGAAGGCUUUCGGGUUGUAAACUUCUUUUCUGAGGGACGAAGAAAGUGACGGUACCUCAGGAAUAAGCCACGGCUAACUACGUGCCAGCAGCCGCGGUAAUACGUAGGUGGCAAGCGUUAUCCGGAUUUAUUGGGUGUAAAGGGCGUGCAGCCGGGCUGACAAGUCAGAUGUGAAAUCCCGCGGCUCAACCGCGGAACUGCAUUUGAAACUGUCAGUCUUGAGUACCGGAGAGG